GUAGGUGGCAAGCGUUGUCCGGAAUUAUUGGGCGUAAAGCGCGCGCAGGCGGUUCUUUAAGUCUGAUGUGAAAGCCCACGGGCUCAACCGUGGAGGGUCAUUGGAAACUGGAGAACUUGAGUACAGAAGAGGAAAGCGGAAUUCCACGUGUAGCGGUGAAAUGCGUAGAGAUGUGGAGGAACACCAGUGGCGAAGGCGGCUUUCUGGUCUGUAACUGACGCUGAGGCGCGAAAGCGUGGGGAGCAAACAGGAUUAGAUACCCUGGUAGUCCACGCCGUAAACGAUGAGUGCUAAGUGUUAGGGGGUUUCCGCCCCUUAGCGCUGCAGCUAACGCAUUAAGCACUCCGCCUGGGGAGUACGGCCGCAAGGCUG
Molecule: ribosomal RNA, 372 nt
Filed under: uncultured organism
Description: partial 16S ribosomal RNA
Rfam family: Bacterial small subunit ribosomal RNA
Source: RNAcentral